This 1420-nucleotide ribosomal RNA is filed under the name uncultured organism. Its description in RNAcentral is "16S ribosomal RNA". It matches the Rfam family "Bacterial small subunit ribosomal RNA". The record is from RNAcentral.
GAUGAACGCUAGCUACAGGCUUAACACAUGCAAGUCGAGGGGCAGCAUGGUCUUAGCUUGCUAAGACUGAUGGCGACCGGCGCACGGGUGAGUAACACGUAUCCAACCUGCCGUCUACUCUUGGACAGCCUUCUGAAAGGAAGAUUAAUACAAGAUGGCAUCAUGAGUCCGCAUGUUCACAUGAUUAAAGGUAUUCCGGUAGACGAUGGGGAUGCGUUCCAUUAGAUAGUAGGCGGGGUAACGGCCCACCUAGUCUUCGAUGGAUAGGGGUUCUGAGAGGAAGGUCCCCCACAUUGGAACUGAGACACGGUCCAAACUCCUACGGGAGGCAGCAGUGAGGAAUAUUGGUCAAUGGGCGAGAGCCUGAACCAGCCAAGUAGCGUGAAGGAUGACUGCCCUAUGGGUUGUAAACUUCUUUUAUAAAGGAAUAAAGUCGGGUAUGCAUACCCGUUUGCAUGUACUUUAUGAAUAAGGAUCGGCUAACUCCGUGCCAGCAGCCGCGGUAAUACGGAGGAUCCGAGCGUUAUCCGGAUUUAUUGGGUUUAAAGGGAGCGUAGAUGGAUGUUUAAGUCAGUUGUGAAAGUUUGCGGCUCAACCGUAAAAUUGCAGUUGAUACUGGAUAUCUUGAGUGCAGUUGAGGCAGGCGGAAUUCGUGGUGUAGCGGUGAAAUGCUUAGAUAUCACGAAGAACUCCGAUUGCGAAGGCAGCCUGCUAAGCUGCAACUGACAUUGAGGCUCGAAAGUGUGGGUAUCAAACAGGAUUAGAUACCCUGGUAGUCCACACGGUAAACGAUGAAUACUCGCUGUUUGCGAUAUACUGCAAGCGGCCAAGCGAAAGCGUUAAGUAUUCCACCUGGGGAGUACGCCGGCAACGGUGAAACUCAAAGGAAUUGACGGGGGCCCGCACAAGCGGAGGAACAUGUGGUUUAAUUCGAUGAUACGCGAGGAACCUUACCCGGGCUUAAAUUGCAGAUGAAUUACGGUGAAAGCCGUAAGCCGCAAGGCAUCUGUGAAGGUGCUGCAUGGUUGUCGUCAGCUCGUGCCGUGAGGUGUCGGCUUAAGUGCCAUAACGAGCGCAACCCUUGUUGUCAGUUACUAACAGGUUCCGCUGAGGACUCUGACAAGACUGCCAUCGUAAGAUGUGAGGAAGGUGGGGAUGACGUCAAAUCAGCACGGCCCUUACGUCCGGGGCUACACACGUGUUACAAUGGGGGGUACAGAGGGCCGCUACCACGCGAGUGGAUGCCAAUCCCCAAAACCUCUCUCAGUUCGGACUGGAGUCUGCAACCCGACUCCACGAAGCUGGAUUCGCUAGUAAUCGCGCAUCAGCCACGGCGCGGUGAAUACGUUCCCGGGCCUUGUACACACCGCCCGUCAAGCCAUGGGAGCCGGGGGUACCUGAAGUGCGUAACCGCGAGGAG